Molecule: long non-coding RNA, 240 nt
Filed under: Elaeis guineensis (African oil palm)
Lineage: Eukaryota; Viridiplantae; Streptophyta; Magnoliopsida; Arecales; Arecaceae
Description: long non-coding RNA (EGUI_LNC068579)
Source: RNAcentral
ACCCAAUCUAUAUAGUUUGAGUUAGUUUUUAUUCUUGACCGCCUACGACAGCGAUCAUAAUCUUUCAAAAUUAUUUCGAACCAGCUUUGAAUUAGAUUCGAAUCGGAUCCGUUUUGGAUGAGAUAUAAGAAAUCUUUUUUGUACUAAGAUUUCUCUCUCAUGUGGGCUGACCAACACCUAGAAUGGUUCUGGUUUGGAGCAUCCCAUGUGGGUGAGAGAUUGGGUGCAAAGUGGUUGUCA